GAGAUAAGUGCUGAAAGCAUCUAAGCACGAAACUUGCCCCGAGAUGAGUUCUCCCUGACUCCUUGAGAGUCCUGAAGGAACGUUGAAGACGACGACGUUGAUAGGCCGGGUGUGUAAGCGCAGCGAUGCGUUGAGCUAACCGGUACUAAUGAACCGUGAGGCUUAACCUUACAACGCCGAAGGUGUUU
Molecule: ribosomal RNA, 188 nt
Filed under: Escherichia coli
Lineage: Bacteria; Pseudomonadati; Pseudomonadota; Gammaproteobacteria; Enterobacterales; Enterobacteriaceae
Description: partial 23S ribosomal RNA
Rfam family: Bacterial large subunit ribosomal RNA
Source: RNAcentral